AGUGGCAAAAGGGCUAGAGUUUAAAGUUGGAUGCUGAAGCUGGAUUGACAUUUGUGAAACAAAGCAGGCAAGGUUUAGAACUUCACCUUGGCAGUUUCUAAAACGUUAAACAGAACCAGUUGCCCAUUCUAGUCAAUGAAUUUGAAUGACUGCUGAUUGGAUUUUAAGUUUCGUUACUUCUGGUUGCUGUCAUGUCUAAUUUCCUUGGGAAUUGUGUUUUAAAUAGUUGGUGGCAACUACAGAUGUUCUAUUAUAUAUGUUCAUGCAGAUUUCUUUUCUAUCCUGUUCUGGAUUCCUAUUUUAUUUAUCUCCUUAUUCCCAAGGAAAUUAGACAUGACAGCAA
Molecule: unclassified non-coding RNA, 343 nt
Filed under: Hevea brasiliensis (rubber tree)
Lineage: Eukaryota; Viridiplantae; Streptophyta; Magnoliopsida; Malpighiales; Euphorbiaceae
Source: RNAcentral